Molecule: ribosomal RNA, 406 nt
Filed under: uncultured bacterium
Lineage: Bacteria
Description: partial 16S ribosomal RNA
Rfam family: Bacterial small subunit ribosomal RNA
Source: RNAcentral
GAUGAACGCUAGCUACAGGCUUAACACAUGCAAGUCGAGGGACCGGCGCACGGGUGAGUCACACGUAUCCAACCUGCCCUUUACUCGGGGAUAGCCUUUCGAACGAAAGAUUAAUACCCGAUAUAAAGGCUGGGGAUGCGUUCCAUUAGGUUGUUUGUGAGGUAACGGCCCACCAAGCCUUCGAUGGAUAGGGGUUCUGAGAGGAAGGUCCCCCAGAGUGGAACUGAGACACGGUCCAAACUCCUACGGGAGGCAGCAGUGAGGAAUAGUGGGCAAUGGGCGGUAGCCUGAAACAGCCAAGUAGCGUGAAGGAUGAAGGGUUAUGGGUCGUAAACUUCUGUUAUAUAAGAAUAUGUAUUAGAUGAAUAAGGAUCGGCUAACUCCGUGCCAGCAGCCGCGGUAAUUC